RNAcentral lists this ribosomal RNA (253 nucleotides) under uncultured bacterium. RNAcentral describes it as "partial 16S ribosomal RNA". It matches the Rfam family "Bacterial small subunit ribosomal RNA", at positions 524 to 776 of the family's 1533-position model. The record is from RNAcentral.
UACGGAGGGGGCUAGCGUUGUUCGGAAUUACUGGGCGUAAAGCGCGCGUAGGCGGACCUGCAAGACGGGGGUGAAAGCCCGAGGCUCAACCUCGGAACUGCCUUCGAUACUGCGGGUCUCGAGUCCGGGAGAGGUGAGUGGAAUUCCUAGUGUAGAGGUGAAAUUCGUAGAUAUUAGGAAGAACACCAGUGGCGAAGGCGGCUCACUGGCCCGGUACUGACGCUGAGGCGCGAAAGCGUGGGGAGCAAACAGG